GUGCCAGCAGCCGCGGUAACACGGGGGGGGCAAGCGUUGUCCGGAAUUACUGGGCGUAAAGGGCGCGUAGGCGGGCAGGCCAGUCGAGGGUGAAAUCCUGCAGCUUAACUGUAGAAUUGCCUUCGAUACUACCUGUCUUGAGUUCGGGAGAGGGAAGCGGAAUUCCUGGUGUAGCGGUGAAAUGCGUAGAUAUCAGGAAGAACACCGGUAGCGAAGGCGGCUUCCUGGCCCGAUACUGACGCUGAAGCGCGAAAGCGUGGGGAGCAAACAGGAUUAGAUACCCUGGUAGUCCACGCCGUAAACGAUGGGUACUAGGUGUUGGGAUCGAUUCUGUCGGUCUCAGUGCCGCAGCUAACGCAUUAAGUACCCCGCCUGGGGAGUACGGUCGCAAGGCUGAAACUCAAAUGAAUUGACGGGG
Molecule: ribosomal RNA, 418 nt
Filed under: uncultured prokaryote
Description: bacterial SSU rRNA
Rfam family: Bacterial small subunit ribosomal RNA
Source: RNAcentral